UACGAAGGGGGCUAGCGUUGUUCGGAAUCACUGGGCGUAAAGGGCGCGUAGGCGGCCGAUUAAGUCGGGGGUGAAAGCCUGUGGCUCAACCACAGAAUUGCCUUCGAUACUGAUUGGCUUGAGACCGGAAGAGGUCAGUGGAACUGCGAGUGUAGAGGUGAAAUUCGUAGAUAUUCGCAAGAACACCAGUGGCGAAGGCGGCUUCCUGGACCGGCAUUGACGCUGAGGAGCGAAAGCCAGGGGAGCAAACGGG
RNAcentral lists this ribosomal RNA (253 nucleotides) under uncultured bacterium. RNAcentral's name for it is "partial 16S ribosomal RNA". It matches the Rfam family "Bacterial small subunit ribosomal RNA", at positions 524 to 776 of the family's 1533-position model. The record is from RNAcentral.